CCUACGGGUGGCAGCAGUGGGGAAUAUUGCACAAUGGGGGAAACCCUGAUGCAGCGACGCCGCGUGAGUGAAGAAGUAAUUCUUUAUGUAAAGCUCUAUCAGCAGGGAAGAAAAAGACGGUACGUGAGUAAGAAGCCACGGCUAACUACGUGCCAGCAGAAGCGGUAAUACGUAGGGGGCAUGCGUUAUCCGGAUUUACUGGGUUUAAAGGGAGCGUAGACGGCAGUGCAAGUCUGGAGUGAAAGUCGGGGGCUCAACCCCCGGACUGCUCUGGAAACUGUACGGCUGGAGUGCAGUAGAGGUAAGUGGAAUUCCUAGUGUAGCGGUGAAAUGCGUAGAUAUUAGGAGGAACCCCAGUGGCGAAGGCGGCUUACUGGACUGUAACUGACGUUGAGGCUCGAAAGCGUGGGGAGCAAACAGGAUUAGAUACCCGGGUAGUC
RNAcentral lists this ribosomal RNA (440 nucleotides) under uncultured bacterium. RNAcentral describes it as "partial 16S ribosomal RNA". It matches the Rfam family "Bacterial small subunit ribosomal RNA", at positions 338 to 795 of the family's 1533-position model. The record is from RNAcentral.